RNAcentral lists this ribosomal RNA (553 nucleotides) under Methanosarcina sp. enrichment culture clone E12. RNAcentral describes it as "bacterial SSU rRNA". It matches the Rfam family "Archaeal small subunit ribosomal RNA", at positions 109 to 660 of the family's 1478-position model. The record is from RNAcentral. Lineage: Archaea; Methanobacteriati; Methanobacteriota; Methanomicrobia; Methanosarcinales; Methanosarcinaceae.
CUGCCCUUGGGUCCGGCAUAACCCCGGGAAACUGGGGAUAAUUCCGGAUAACGCACAUAUGCUGGAAUGCUUUAUGCGUCAAAUGGAUUCGUCUGCCCAAGGAUGGGUCUGCGGCCUAUCAGGUAGUAGUGGGUGUAAUGUACCUACUAGCCGACGACGGGUACGGGUUGUGAGAGCAAGAGCCCGGAGAUGGAUUCUGAGACAUGAAUCCAGGCCCUACGGGGCGCAGCAGGCGCGAAAACUUUACAAUGCGGGAAACCGUGAUAAGGGGACACCGAGUGCCAGCAUCAUAUGCUGGCUGUCCGGGUGUGUAAAAUACACCUGUUAGCAAGGGCCGGGCAAGACCGGUGCCAGCCGCCGCGGUAACACCGGCGGCCCGAGUGGUGAUCGUGAUUAUUGGGUCUAAAGGGUCCGUAGCCGGUUUGGUCAGUCCUCCGGGAAAUCUGACGGCUUAACCGUUAGGCUUUCGGAGGAUACUGCCAGGCUUGGAACCGGGAGAGGUAAGAGGUACUACAGGGGUAGGAGUGAAAUCUUGUAAUCCCUGUGGGACCAC